AUCAUUGAAAAUUAGAAUUUAUUGUUCAAGGUUUUUAAAAGAAUGCUUCUCCUCUAAAAUUUACACAGGUGGAUAUGCACCAUUUUCGGCACCGAUUCACAAAAAAAGGAAUAAGAGAACGUGGAGGAAAAUGGUACAGUUUCUUUAACCAUCUGAAAGUUAAAAUACGUUGCUGAACUUUGCAUUUCGUACAUACUCCAUAAUGCACGGAGCACCCGUUACAUCGGUCGUUGUACAGCUGCGCUCUUAUCAACAUUCUAUACUUUGCUUCUCCUACAGAAGUAGGUAGGUACUUGACCAUUGUCACCACAGGAUGUUUGGUUAUUGAUAUGGCAACAGCACUUUCUAGAAUUGAAUUUCAUCUAAUUGCAACUUAUGCAUGUUAUGUACGGAGCUUGCGGUUAGAGAUGCUUAGCAUGGGAGUUUUGUUGCGAUAUUAAGAUUUUAUUCAAGGGUUAAUAUCGUUUGAGAUAUCACGGAGAGUAGUUGAUUUCUGAUUUUCAUAAUUUCGAGUUAGUAAUAAUUCAUCGCUCAAGAAAUGAAGUGGAAACGACUCUUCUCGCCCAUUCAAAAUGGGGCUCCAUCCAAUGCUGAUAAGAAACAGACUUCUGUCGGUGGAGUGAAAUCAAUUCGACAUAAACCGUGUUGCCUCAAAUGUGCCGUAGUGUGUAAAUGUAAACGGCAUAAGCGAACACUACGAGCAGUGUUACCCGAACACCUAACAAGUGGUAUUUUACCGUGACAUUAUUGCUUAAGUGGAAAUAAGUGGAACACCAGAUAAGAAUAAAACAUAUCAACUAUC
Molecule: long non-coding RNA, 802 nt
Organism: Armigeres subalbatus
Lineage: Eukaryota; Metazoa; Arthropoda; Insecta; Diptera; Culicidae
Exons: 2
Source: RefSeq, a predicted model, not a curated record